This 467-nucleotide ribosomal RNA is filed under the name uncultured bacterium. Its description in RNAcentral is "partial 16S ribosomal RNA". It matches the Rfam family "Bacterial small subunit ribosomal RNA", at positions 28 to 507 of the family's 1533-position model. The record is from RNAcentral.
GACGAACGCUGGCGGCGUGCUUAACACAUGCAAGUCGAACGGAAAGGCCCUGCUUUUGUGGGGUGCUCGAGUGGCGAACGGGUGAGUACACGUGAGUAACCUGCCCUUGACUUUGGGAUAACUUCAGGAAACUGGGGCUAAUACCGGAUAGGAGCUCCUGCUGCAUGGUGGGGGUUGGAAAGUUUCGGCGGUUGGGGAUGGACUCGCGGCUUAUCAGCUUGUUGGUGGGGUAGUGGCUUACCAAGGCUUUGACGGGUAGCCGGCCUGAGUGGGUGACCGGCCACAUUGGGACUGAGAUACGGCCCAGACUCCUACGGGAGGCAGCAGUGGGGAAUAUUGCACAAUGGGCGGAAGCCUGAUGCAGCAACGCCGCGUGCGGGGUGACGGCCUUCGGGUUGUAAACCGCUUUCGCCUGUGACGAAGCGUGAGUGACGGUAAUGGGUAAAGAAGCACCGGCUAACUACGUG